CCUACGGGGAGCAGCAGUAGGGAAUCUUCCACAAUGGGCGAAAGCCUGAUGGAGCAACGCCGCGUGGGUGAGGAAGGUCUUCGGAUCGUAAAACCCUGUUGUUAGAGAAGAAAGUGCGUGAGAGUAACUGUUCACGUUUCGACGGUAUCUAACCAGAAAGCCACGGCUAACUACGUGCCAGCAGCCGCGGUAAUACGUAGGUGGCAAGCGUUAUCCGGAUUUAUUGGGCGUAAAGGGAACGCAGGCGGUCUUUUAAGUCUGAUGUGAAAGCCUUCGGCUUAACCGGAGUAGUGCAUUGGAAACUGGGAGACGUGAGUGCAGAAGAGGAGAGUGGAACUCGAGGUGUAGCGGUGAAAUGCGUAGAUAUAUGGAAGAACACCAGUGGCGAAAGCGGCUCUCUGGUCUGUAACUGACGCUGAGGUUCGAAAGCGUGGGUAGCAAACAGGAUUAGAUACCCUUGUAGUC
RNAcentral lists this ribosomal RNA (465 nucleotides) under uncultured bacterium. RNAcentral describes it as "partial 16S ribosomal RNA". It matches the Rfam family "Bacterial small subunit ribosomal RNA", at positions 338 to 795 of the family's 1533-position model. The record is from RNAcentral.